UACAGGGGGUGCAAACGUUGCUCGGAAUCAUUGGGCGUAAAGCGCACGUAGGCGGUUCGUUGUGUCGGAUGUGAAAGCCCUUGGCUUAACCGAGGAAGUGCAUCCGAAACUGGCGAGCUAGAGUACUAAAGAGGAUCGCGGAAUUCCCGGUGUAGAGGUGAAAUUCGUAGAUAUCGGGAGGAACACCGGUGGCGAAGGCGGCGAUCUGGGUAGAUACUGACGCUGAGGUGCGAAAGCGUGGGGAGCAAACAGG
RNAcentral lists this ribosomal RNA (253 nucleotides) under uncultured bacterium. Its description in RNAcentral is "partial 16S ribosomal RNA". It matches the Rfam family "Bacterial small subunit ribosomal RNA", at positions 524 to 776 of the family's 1533-position model. The record is from RNAcentral.